UACAUGCGUGUUAUUUACCUGAGGACAUACUUACGACUUUCACUUUAGAAUUAAAAGAUUUUAGUUGAAGUUAAAGAUUCAUAAGAAGUUUCCUAGUAAAGCUAUUUUCUACAUAUUUUUUAUUCAAAUCCGUAGAAACAUUGCAGGAAAUUCUUGGAAUGUAAAUUAAAGACAUGGAGAUAUCUUUGAAAUUGUGUGAGACGAGGACAAUUUAAAAAUCAUAAUUUGCUGCCUUAUUUAAUUUGGUUACAAUAAUCUUAUCUUAAUAUACAAAAGCAUAACUACAAUUUGAUGGCAACAUAAUAACUAAUGGGAAUAUGGUCAUAUGGGAGUGAUCACUUUAGUACAUCUACAUCGUCUACCCACACACUUCGCUACAUAUGGUCCUUGGCACAAAUUUGGUGGACAAUCAGAAUCCCUGAAACAUCUAUUAAUACCUAGAAUGAAAAAUGAGAAUAAAAUAAUUUAAAUAAUAUGCGUUAAAUGUUUAUACAAAGUAACGAAUGAAUUUGUAAAGAAUAAAAAAUGGAUUACUUGCAAUAGUCGAUGGCACAAGAAAUAUGAAAGUAAAGAAAAUCAUUACAUAAAUAAACUUGACAAUUUUAGUCAUAGUUCCUCUUUGCAAUUAAGAAAUAGUUUUAUCAGUUUAUAUUUGUUAUGGUUUCACCUCUCCUCAC
Molecule: long non-coding RNA, 677 nt
Filed under: Lathyrus oleraceus (garden pea)
Lineage: Eukaryota; Viridiplantae; Streptophyta; Magnoliopsida; Fabales; Fabaceae
Description: Pisum sativum (pea) long non-coding RNA (PSAT_LNC020359)
Source: RNAcentral